AAGCGGCAACAGCUCAAAUUUGAAAUCUGGCGUCUUUGGCGUCCGAGUUGUAAUUUGCAGAGGGCGCUUUGGCAUUGGCAGCGGUCCAAGUUCCUUGGAACAGGACGUCACAGAGGGUGAGAAUCCCGUACGUGGUCGCUAGCCUCUACCGUGUAAAGCCCCUUCGACGAGUCGAGUUGUUUGGGAAUGCAGCUCUAAAUGGGAGGUAAAUUUCUUCUAAAGCUAAAUACUGGCCAGAGACCGAUAGCGCACAAGUAGAGUGAUCGAAAGAUGAAAAGCACUUUGGAAAGAGAGUUAAAAAGCACGUGAAAUUGUUGAAAGGGAAGCGCUUGCAGCCAGACUUGCCUGUAGUUGCUCAUCCGGGUUUCUACCCGGUGCACUCUUCUAUAGGCAGGCCAGCAUCAGUUUGGGCGGUUGGAUAAAGGUCUCUGUCAUGUACCUCCUCUCGGGGAGAACUUAUAGGGGAGACGACAUGCAACCAGCCUGGACUGAGGUCCG
RNAcentral lists this ribosomal RNA (498 nucleotides) under Pleosporaceae sp. MU-17. RNAcentral's name for it is "eukaryotic LSU rRNA". It matches the Rfam family "Eukaryotic large subunit ribosomal RNA", at positions 96 to 604 of the family's 3401-position model. The record is from RNAcentral. Lineage: Eukaryota; Fungi; Ascomycota; Dothideomycetes; Pleosporales; Pleosporaceae.